UACAGAGGGUGCAAGCGUUGUUCGGAAUUAUUGGGCGUAAAGGGUGCGUAGGCGGUUUGGCAAGUCUGGUGUGAAAUCUAUGGGCUCAACCCAUAGUCUGCAUCAGAAACUGCCGGGCUUGAGUAUGGGAGAGGUGAGUGGAAUUUCCGGUGUAGCGGUGAAAUGCGUAGAUAUCGGAAGGAACACCUGUGGCGAAAGCGGCUCACUGGACCAUAACUGACGCUGAUGCACGAAAGCUAG
RNAcentral lists this ribosomal RNA (240 nucleotides) under uncultured prokaryote. RNAcentral's name for it is "partial 16S ribosomal RNA". It matches the Rfam family "Bacterial small subunit ribosomal RNA", at positions 524 to 763 of the family's 1533-position model. The record is from RNAcentral.